RNAcentral lists this ribosomal RNA (389 nucleotides) under uncultured bacterium. Its description in RNAcentral is "bacterial SSU rRNA". It matches the Rfam family "Bacterial small subunit ribosomal RNA", at positions 29 to 417 of the family's 1533-position model. The record is from RNAcentral.
AUUGAACGCUGGCGGCAUGCUUUACACAUGCAAGUCGUGCGGGCAGCGCGAGGGCAACCUUGGCGGCGAGCGGCGAACGGGUGAGGAAUACAUCGGAACGUACCCCGGAGUGGGGGAUAACCCAGCGAAAGUUGGACUAAUACCGCAUAUGCUCUGAGGAGGAAAGCAGGGGACUUCGCAAGAGGCCUUGCGCUCUGGGAGCGGCCGAUGUCCGAUUAGCUAGNGGUGGGGUAAUGGCUCACCAAGGCGACGAUCGGUAGCUGGUCUGAGAGGAUGAUCAGCCACACUGGGACUGAGACACGGCCCAGACUCCUACGGGAGGCAGCAGUGGGAAUUUUGGACAAUGGGGCAACCCUGAUCCAGCCAUGCCGCGUGCGGGAAGAAGGCCU